UACGUAGGGUGCGAGCGUUGUCCGGAAUUAUUGGGCGUAAAGGGCUCGUAGGCGGUUUGUCACGUCGGGAGUGAAAACUCGGGGCUCAACCCCGAGCCUGCUUCCGAUACGGGCAGACUAGAGGUAUGCAGGGGAGAAUGGAAUUCCUGGUGUAGCGGUGAAAUGCGCAGAUAUCAGGAGGAACACCGGUGGCGAAGGCGGUUCUCUGGGCAUUACCUGACGCUGAGGAGCGAAAGUGUGGGGAGCGAACAGG
Molecule: ribosomal RNA, 253 nt
Filed under: uncultured bacterium
Lineage: Bacteria
Description: partial 16S ribosomal RNA
Rfam family: Bacterial small subunit ribosomal RNA
Source: RNAcentral